Long non-coding RNA from Girardinichthys multiradiatus, 572 nucleotides. RefSeq lists it as uncharacterized. The record is from RefSeq and is a predicted model, not a curated record. Lineage: Eukaryota; Metazoa; Chordata; Actinopteri; Cyprinodontiformes; Goodeidae. The transcript is spliced from 2 exons.
GUCCAGUUGUAAUUCACCUUACACCUGAAGACUGAGUUGAAGGCCAACAGCUUCUCUGCUUGACUUCAUUUAUCAUGCCUCAAAGUAUUUCAUUCACAUUGGUAAAGGUUCAAGUAUUUGAUCAGGAAGCCUCCUGGGCACCUCCCUUUGGAGGUUUUCUGGGCUCAACCCACUGGAAGGAGACCCCAGAGAAGACCCAUAAAUCGAUGGUGGGACAAUAUAUCCCAACUGCCCUAGGAGCCCCUUGGAAACCCCAAGAAUGAGCUGGAGGAUGGCGCUGGGAAGAGGGAUGCGUGGGGUUCCCUGCUGGACCUGUUGCCAGUUAUUACCUGAAUACAAAUAUCUAAGAAAUAUCCUUAAAGUCUGAUAUGACACAAUUGGGUUAAAAAAAACUAAAGUUAAAAUAUAGCUUAACUUUUUUCUAAAUUCAGGCUUGUCUUCCUUUUGAGUCAAUGAAAAGGCUUGUUAUUACCCUUAAUGGGUACUAACAGGAAAUUUCCUUAACUGUGAUCUGCUUGCUCACGAUUUGUGUGUUUAUAAAAAUAAAAUCGAGCUUUUGGGCUCCAAACAGA